GACGUAGGGGGCAAGCGUUAUUCGGAAUCAUUGGGCGUAAAGCGCUCGUAGGCGGAUCGAACAGUCGGUGAAGAAAGACCUGGGCUCAACUCAGGGAACGGCACCGAUACUAUCGGUCUUGAGGCAAUCAGAGGAUGAUGGAAUUCCCGGUGUAGCGGUGAAAUGCGUAGAUAUCGUAAGGAAGACCAGUGGCGAAGGCGGGUCUCUGGACAGUUCCUGACACUGAGACACGAAGGCCAGGGGAGCGAACGGG
RNAcentral lists this ribosomal RNA (253 nucleotides) under uncultured prokaryote. RNAcentral describes it as "partial 16S ribosomal RNA". It matches the Rfam family "Bacterial small subunit ribosomal RNA", at positions 524 to 776 of the family's 1533-position model. The record is from RNAcentral.